CCCGGUACCCCCGCUGAACCCCGGAUCUCCCGGCGCACCGCGCUGAGGAUCGUUUCCUGGAGACACCCCCCCCCCCCCGGCCAGGACCUGAGGCUCCAGAGGAGAGGAGCCCCAGAAAUGUUACCGCCGGGUGGAUAAGCGAGAAUCCUUAGAGGAAAAUGCUCUUCCGGGAACCCCAAGCCACAGCUGACCGACCGGAGGGAGCCCCCUUGGAAGGGGCUGGCGCGCAGGAAAGCUGAAACUACAAGAAAAUUCUGUCAUGGUGACCAAAAAUGGUAGCAACUUUCAUCAUAAAAAUACUGUAGCACCUUUUCUCAAGAGGCCAGCUCCGGAGUUAACCUGCUUGGAUUCAGAACUGGCUGCACUUCUAACUGUAUGUAACUUGGGUAAGGUACCUUAUCUCUACGUCCCUUUGUGUCCUUAUUCAUUAGAUGGGGAUAAUAAAUGGUGUCAUACAGUUUUUUGUAUGAUUAAGUUAACUGAAAGUACCUAAAAUACUGCCUGGCAUACAAUGCAUUAAAAAUUAACAUUUUAUUACUAGUGUGGUUGCUAUUACUUAACUAUUCUAACCAGGUUUUAGUCUUGUUUAAUAACAGCAGAAAGUAUAAAACGAAAAAAAUCUAAUGAAAGGCAAACCAGUUGUUUUUUAACUAAGAUUCUCUUUUACAGACUGUCGAGUUUUUGGAAGGUAAGAGCUGAGAAUACUUUCUUUAGGACCUGUCAGGUUAGUUUGUUUUUCCUCUACGAUUUUAAAUCUGAUGCCCUGUCAUAUUAAAAAAGCAGAAUAGGCAGAAGUGAUUUUCUUUUUAUCUCCUGUCAAAAAUGGUUUUUUUUCCAAGUUAAUUUAAUUCCUUUAAUUCAAAUAUGUUUGAAUUCAUUUUAUGCCCUUUAAGUGAAACAUUUUAAGCACUUGCCCAACCUCCCUAUUAACUGUCCAAAAUGUUUCUAGAUUCCUUUAAAGCAAAUGUCUCUCUAUAAACAAAAAGUAGUAAGUUCAAAGGUGGUUGCAUUUGCUUUACAGGUUUCCCUGAUCCUAGCUGGACCCUGUCAUCAUGUGAAGUCUGAGCAAACUUCCUGUGUCUGGGAGUGCAUCAGAAGUGAAACUUGUGCUUCAUACUAAGAAAUCUCUUGAGAAUGGCUGGGUCUUGGCUCUUUGAUCUCACCUCUACCUCAUGGAAAGAGAAGAGCUUCUAAAAAAUGUGUUAGGUGGAUGAAUCACACCAAUACCUCCCAGAAGCCACCUGGUCACUUCACUGACUUAGUCAGAUGUCACAGUCACAUAACCCUAUGGGGAUCGGGCAAGUGUCCACCUCUUAAAACCCUUUAUCCACAACUUUAAUCACCUUUGAUAUUCAUUACAUUUGACUUGCUGCUCUUACUCUUUUUGGACAUAACCAAUGCUUGAUGCUAAGACACGAUGUGGCUGUUUACUUCAAAAAGGAAGGGAAAAAGGAAAAGGCUUUCUUUAAAAUUUCAUUUUGAGGGCCAGGGAUUUAGCUCAGUGGUUCCACCGCCUGCCUCACAAGCACAAAGUCCCGAGUUCGAUCCCUGGUACCAAAAAAGAUUUUCAUUGUGAAACAAGGUCUCUGGUUAGUUGCCUAGACUGGGCUUGAACCUGCAGUCCUCCUCUUGAGUAGCUGAGAUUGCAGGCAUAUGCCACUGUGCCUGCCAAAGGAUAUUAAAAAAAAAGUUUACUUAUGCAGAAAAUUUUGAGGAAAUAUUAAUUUGUAAGGAAAAAAGCAGGAUAAAAGUAUCCAGAAGCUCUUGACCCCGAAUCUGUUAAUGUUUGUAAGUUUGAUGAAGACAAAGUCCACACUGAAAUCUGUUUGCACUCAUCUGUUCAUCACAGGAAGAUACAUAGGAUCUUCAGCAAGGAAUACACACUAGGGAAAAAGCUUGAUAUUGCACAGAUAGAGGGCUUCAUGAAUGGUGGAUGGAAGUUCUGUAUCUCUUCCUCUGAUUUCUCCAACAAUGAAGCUCAGCUGAGAGUGUGUCAAGAUUGGAUUUUUAGCUGCGUUGCUCAGGCUUCCUCGAACCUGUGAUCCUCUGCCUCAGCCUCCCAAGUAGCUAGGAUUACAGGGAUCGAACUCGGGUCCUUGCGCUUGCAAGGCAAGCGGCGGAACCACUGAGAUGAGAAAACUGAAGUCCAACAAUGCUGAAGAACAAGCCCUAAGUAUCAUAGCCAGGAUUGCACACAAAUUUUUUUUUCCUUUCCAAAUUCUGUGCUUUCUGUAUCACAAUGUAUAGACUUUUCUUUGGAGGAUAAUUUAGUGAUGUACCUUUCUCUUCCCAUUUUUAGCACUUCACCCUCCCACCCCUGCCCGCCCAUGACGCCUGAGCGAUUUUAUUUCCGCAGGCGGGAACUGAGCGGGCAGAGGACUAGGUGCUCAGGGCCGAGGGGACUCCAGUCCGGAGGAGGGCUGGGGCAGCCUGAACUUGGAGAGGUCCAGGUUCAGGUCCAGGAAGGUGUACGUGCUGUAGUUGCGGCGUUGCAGGUUCCUGUAGGUGGUGUUGUCGAAGGGCUCGGCGGGCGCACGGGCCUGGGCGGACUUAUUUUUGGUGGACUCUGUUUCUUGGGCUUUGGCGGCAGCUCCUUUUCAUUCUUCCCCGACUGUGGCUCAGACGUGAGCGUGAGCGGACGCAUGUAGCUCUCGGGCUACGCCCUGCGCGUCCACGUCGCCUGAGGACCCGCCCCUUUUAAAAUUUAUUUACAUCACCUUUUAUUUACUAUACUCUAACCUCAUAAACUAUUUAGCAUUUCUCUUAUUUAGCUUUAUAAUAGAAUCCCUAGUUCUUUUAAAAAAACUACAUUUAACCUCCGUAAUUCUAUACCCACUACUUUAUUUGGUAGCCUUCAGUAACAUGACUUCUGUUUCCAUCUUUCCAUCCAAACACUCUGCAAAGGGUGGUUUCUAAAACACAUGGGUAUAUUUAAUUUGUAUUCCUACUGGACCUCACCAUUGUGCUUGCACUUUUUUUUUCCUUUUUCAGUAGUAGGGAUUGAACCUGGGGCCUUUAUGCUAAGCUAUGUCCUCAGUCCUUUUUGUCAAUUUGAUACAGUGUUAAGUCACUACAUUGCCCAGGCUGGGUUUAAACUUGUGAUUUUCCUGCCUCAGCCUCCCAGAGUGCUGGGAUUAUAGGCACCACCAUGCCUCUCUUGGUUGUUGGGCUAUCGACCACCUCUUGCUCCUCUGGUGGUUACCUUUUCUUUCUUUCUCUCUUUGAAUGAUCAACAGUGGAAAAAUUUGUGCACUAUGCCGGGAAGCGCCAUCAGCACUCACAGUUACACAGUGGUUGGACGGACAUCAGUGCAUUUCCUCAACUCUGAUUAUCCAAGGUCAGUUGCACCACCCAAAGUACAAGUUCCCUGUCUAUGCUAGGACCUAGUCUUUCUUCUUCACUUCAGAAUCCUCACUCCUUGGUCCAUCCUUGGUGUAGAAGGAAGUAUUUGUGAAGAAACUGAAAUAAUUUUUGAUAGGAGAUUCCAAACACAGAAGGGAUCCACUCCAUGCAGAAAGUGGCCAGAAGUGCUGGGGUUUUCCUAGGCAACUGUGAAGAGAACAGUGUGACUACAGCAAAGGAUAGAGGGCUGGAGGAGCUGCUGACGUGUCAAAAAGUCAUAACAGACUUUGAAAGAGUUAAACCCUCUUCUCACCCUCCUCAAAUCAACAAAAAACAAAGAAAAAAGAAGAGACAAAAAUGACUAGUGCUCUCCUCGGAGACACCAGGAAUUGUCUAGUGCCCUCUUUCAUAGCAGCCUGCAACUUUCACUAUUUUUGAGCUUUUACCACUCUGUAGAAAACUGAUAGUAAUGCAGAUGAUUCUAUAGAAAUUAAAAUGUCAGGUGAGUACCAUCUACUUUCUACCUCCUGUAACCUUGAACCCUACCCACAGAAACAUUUAGUUUUGCAUUUAUUAAUGACUUUAUUUCAGCAUUUCUCAGUGCCUAUGUACAUGUCAGUUUUAAACAUCUUAUCCGUUAUUCAUUAAUUAAUGAGCUAAAUAAAAUCGGUGACAUGUUCAUUUUAUAUUUAUAUGAGAGUCAUGACUUGAACUUUUAUAUAAAAAUAUCCAUUUAAAAGAAAGUAGAUGAACAUUAGGUUUUAAAGGGCCUCAAAAGCCUGUCUAGAAGGUUUAGAUUUCACAGUGUCAGAGGUUUAAAGGCUGAAACAAAAUGGGUUAAAGAUUUGCAGUUUUGGACAAAGACACUGGAGCACAUGUGGUUGGGGUGGAAAGAAAAGCUACUGGCCAUUGCCAGAGUCCGGGUAGGAGAAGGUGAGAGGUGUAAUAGAAUGAAGCACCUACCGUAGUGUGUAGAGUGGCGCCUGCUGCCUCCCAUACAGUGUGAACGAACUAAGGUACUAAUGAUAGGAAAGAGGCAGAUCAAGGAACAUUUCUGAAGGCAAGUCUCAAUUAGGCACACCCACUAUCUUCCAGACUCUAUAAUUUAAACCUUUCUUAAAGAUUAAAAUUUAGAGGCCCCUUAUAUUUUCACUGACUCCUAUUGAUACUUUAUUCAUAGCACCAAGUAACAAACCUUUACAACACAUUCUAAAAUUCUCUUUAACUUAAUUCUAUACUCACAUUUGGUUACAGAUUGUUUCUGUUGACUCAGAGUCUUUAAGCCACAGGGGCCCACAGUUGCUUUUCCUGCAGAAUAUUAUGUUCCCCAGAGAAGUAAAGGAACUGGUGCUUUGAGACAGUUACAUUGGAGCUCCCUAUGAACCGCUUGUGCAGUCUCCUCCCAAACUGGCUAUAGGACUUUUCAGCCAAUGGGCUAUUAGCAGGUAUAGCACAAGUAGAGAUUGGGUGCCCAGUUGUAGCUGGGGGUUGUCUUCUGGAACAAACCCUCUUGGAACCCAGCUACCAAGCAAUAAUGGAGUCUAGGCUGUCCUUUUGGAAAGAGACAGCACAUAUAGAAAGGAAGACCACAGGAAGGAGAAGGGGGUUCCCCAGCUGAGCUCCUUGCUGAAUGCAAGCUGUGUGAUUGACAACCAUGCCGCCAACACUCAUGGAGUAGAAGAGCAUCCCAGUCAAACCACAGACUCUGGAGAAUUGAUAAAUCACUGUAGUUUUAAGCCACUCUGUGUGUGUGUGUGUGUGUGUGUGUGUGUGUGUGUGUGUGUGUGUGUAUUUCAUACAAUAGAAAUCUGAAACAGGGAGAGAGCAGUUUGCCCAUGGGAGAACCAGGGAAGAACAUCUUAGACAAGUCAUUUAAAAAUUUUUCAAUGACCCCAGAAGUUCUGUUCAACUACACUUUCCAUCACCGAUAAGAUAGCAAGUGCACCCUCUUUGUGAGCUCUCUCAGCCUCUGUUCUCAGAAGCCUGAGUUUAGGGAGUCUUUGCGAGUUUUAUCCCUUGGCUGGAUUUCAACAGAGAGACAACAUGGCAAGCCCUCAUACCUAGCAGACUCUGGAGAGGCCCUAAUAAUUGGCUGCUUUUAUCAGUCAGAAGCAUGUAAAAAUUGACUUCACUAUAGCAAAAUCUUGAGGGGUUUAGGCAGCCCUCCAUUUUGCUAACUAACCUUGAUGUUUAAAACACAUAUAAAUAUGCACAGACACACAUCCAUACAGGAAAAAGUUUGAACAUGAAAUUAAAACUAGUGAAAAUAAGAUAUGACAACCUGGAGUGACUGCUUCAUUCUUUGGGUAUAUUUUUUAUCCCACUGAGAGAAGAUUUUAAUAGUAAAAGUUAGCUGCUCUUGGGUGACCUAACAAUGGUUACCUACACAAGGACGUAGCAAGCAACACUCACUUUUCAAUAUUCCCUGCCUGAAAUUGUCACUUUUAUCUCCACCUUUCUUCCCUUGCUCUCCCACUUAUCCACUUCCCAACAUCUGUAUCCUUGGAUGAUAAUUUUAAUUGCUUUGGUUGAAGACAAAUGUUUAGUUGCUAUUGCACCUUUGUUUGGCUGAGUGGGUAAAGGAAGCUGGGGACAAGUGCAGAUUGCUCAGCAGCUUCUGUUCAGGAAAUGUAAAGGAAGGACACAGCUGGGGGGAUGAUGAGCUACCAAAGAGGAUGAUCUGAAGUGCUGUUGAGGGUGGAAUUGUGGGAGUGAAGGGCUAUGUGUUCUCCACUUCUCUGUUUCCAUUUCUGUGAAAUCUCCAGUAAAAUGUCCCUACCUAGUGAAUUUAUUGUGGAAUUGAUCUGUUUUAAGAUGUAUUGACGUGCUGUAUCCUUGGUGUGGGUGAAGAAGAACUUCCUGUGGAGAACAACCCCACCUGGAUCCCAUGGGUAAUGUUUGUGGAACUGCUUCUGCCUGUUGGACAGCUCCCAGCCUGGAGACAGACUCCUGAGGCCAUUCCUGUUUCAGGUGUUCUACCCUGGAUCCUUUCCACCUGGACAAGCUCCAAGGGCCCCUACAGCUAAUGUACAUAGGUGCAAUGCACCACCUGCUGCACCUCGGGUCAACUGUCAUGGGUCUCUGCUUGUCAUGAGGGCUGACCCCUUUCUUCCCACCAACACCUUCUUCUUCCUCUCCAUUCCCCAUAUGGCAAGCUCUGGCACAAAUCUUGACCACAGACUUAAUUAAAGGGCAUGCCAUUUAACCUUUCUAUUUCUGUUUUCUCACUGAUAGAUAACUGUCACUGUGGAGACCAGAUAAAGUGCAAAAGCCCAUGUCUCUUCCUGUGAGACUGCUCCUCCUGCCUUGACCCCCUGCACUCAUUAGGUUGCCACUGGCUCCCAGCUGGUUGCUGGGAUGCCACUCCCUUGCUAAAGCCUAGAACUGGUAACUCCCUUGGUUUUCAGGCUAUGGCUCAGUAGUCUGUUAGGACCUUGAUUCCAUUUUGAAUUAAUGGCCCUCUAGACAAACUGGCAAAAAACUUCGUCAAAAGUUAAAAAUAGACAAAAUAGAAGAAUAAAUGCACAAGAUCCAAAAUAAUUCUGACAUUUUCAAAUUGCAGCAGACUUGAUGCAUGGUGGGAGGUUAGCAUAGCACAGUGGGUAAGAACAUGCGUGGGUCUGAGUCAGAAUGAUGUGAAUUCGAACUUCUAUUAACUUGGACAGGUAGCCUGUUCUUUUAUCUGUUACGUGGGUUAAUGCCAGACUGUCCUCACUGUUUUUGUGAUGACAUGUGUUCCAUAUGUCCAAACCAUGUCUAGAGUCACCACAAAAGUGGUGACGGGAGUUCCCAUGAGACAGUGCUCCAAAACAUCCUGAGAUGGGGCCUGUUGGUAUUUCAAACAAAGAAACACUGAACAAGGGGGUGAUAAAUCUAAGGCAUUUAUUAGGGAAACUUACAUACAAAGGGCUGAAGACUUCUCCCUGAUGGACAGAAAGAUGAGACGUUCUACCCAUAUAUGUCUGUAAUGCAGGAGCCCAGUUGUGGCGUUUAUGUGAAAGUUUAAGGAGUUUGUCUCAGGGCUGAUCUAGUUUCUUCCAGUGUUUGGGCAACAACCCAAACAGCCAGGAAUGUUCAAGGCCCUGAUUUUAGUUCAAGCCCAUAGGAGAAAACCUGCAACUGGCUGGGUCACAGAGCAGCCAAAGCACCACGUUUUAGUCAGGACAAAGAAAAGAGUGAGGGAUCUGGGGGACCCUAUGCCAUAAGACGAUGUACGUAUUAACAUUUGUUAAUAUUUCCAUGGACCAGCACAUUAUCUGCAGAGGUCAGUGACAGACCUCUUGUUAUCCUCUCCCAUUUUAUAGAUGAAGAACCUGAGGGAUGGAGAGGUGAGAUAAUCUUCAGCAUCAUACAGAUGAUAAAUUGUGGACCUGGGCUUCAAAUUCAGGGUAUCUAUCAUCAGAAGCCCUGCUAAGGUGAAUGGUACACCUUGGCAUCCUUUUCUGGCACACUGGGUAUGCUAGGAAAAGUGCCUAUGAUUAUAUUAUUUAUAAAUGUGCAUUGCCUGAAUUAGCAUCAGAUGAAUUUGUUUGAAAUUCCUUAAAACAUUUAAAAGAUGUCAAAAUAAGAGUAAUAUUAGCUAGCAGAUGCAAUGAACUUUUAAGAAGUGGCAAAUUAUUUUUAGUUUAUAUCUCAUAAUCACAUAUUAUGAGAAGACCCCCUGCUUCCUGUGGUUCGAUAUGGUCUGCUUAGAUGUCCUUGUGUGUAGCACCUUCCCACGGUCUCCUGGUCACCAUGCUUUCCUUUCUUGCUAGGCCCCGCUCCAGUCUUUGAUGGAGCCUCCUAGAAAGGCCUAGGAAGUAGGCUGCCUCUGCCUGGCUACUCCCCCUCCCAGGGCUGGUUCCUAGGCCUGUCCCCACUGCCCUUUGACAGACUGAAUUUCUGUCCUAAUGUACAAUCUGAGUGUGAGAUUUCAAUAGGCAGCCAGCCCUCAAUAAGUGAGAUUAUAUGUGUACUUGUUAACCAUUUCUCAUGCAUCAGCCCAUUUAAUUUUCACAGUGAUAGAAUGUAUUAUUCAUUAUUUUAAUCUUUAAUACACAAUUUUUAAUUCUUUGUUGUAAUAAAAAUCUAACUAAAGUCAUAGGCUUUAUUUUAGCCUGGGAGAAAAUAAAAAUAGUCUUUUCCUGGCUUAAGCAAAAUAUUUUUUACCUUCAAGAAAACACAGAUAUAUUUAAAUUCAUUACCUUAGCAAUCCACUAUUAAGAUAACCAAAUAAAAUUUCAGACUUUAAGAGGCAAGAGUUUACUUUCAGAGUCUCAGUGUCUUAGAAGAUUCCUUCGGUAGAAACACCAUUUGCCGGAGUGAUUUUGUGAUACCAGCAUGCAGAGGUAGAGACAGGUGCUAUGAGGUACAGCGAGUCAUUUGUCUCAAUUCUUCACUCCUCCCUGCACUUGGGAUCCACUUUCCUGCUUUUUUACGUAGUCUUGGCCAUGAGACUUGUUUGGGCCAACAGAAUUAAGCAGAAGUCUCAGGAGAGUCAUUAAGACUCGAACGACAGAUGAGUGGAAGAAUCUGAAAUAUACUGGAGAGUGAGGGCCUGGGCUCCAGGUAGGAAGUUAGGGGUUCUGGCUAAUCAGACCAGGACAGAGAGAUUCUCAUUGCCUGGGAUAUAACAAUUGUUUUGGCCCCAUUUUUAACUUGGGCCCAGUUAGAGAAAGCCAAAUAUGAUCCCCUGCCCAAUCAUGUAGGAUGCCCCACUUCUAGUCCGCUUGCCUCCAGCUUCCUAGCCAACAGCCUCCAAUCAGAACACACCUGAAGCCUUCCCUUGUCCACUCUGAAGUCUUCCGACUUCUCUGCCUGCCUAGGAGUCUCUGUGAUGGUGCCUGGCUCCUUUGCUACAUUUCCCAAUUUUCUCCCAUGGCUAUAUAUCUCUUCAAUAACCAGAAAAAAGAAUAUAUUUUCACAAGUGAUGGACUCCCCAUUGCUGAGGUAUUAAUUGAGGAAUGUAACUUUUAAUUUUACCUUUUGUUUUGUUAGAGACUUCUGGGGGUUAUACUAGAUGAAAAGUUGGAGUAGUUGGUUCAAUUCAAAUUUAUAUUUUUAAAUGUUUCUAUAGCAGUCAGAACAUUAAUUGGAUUCAGAAGACCUGAGAGCUAGACCUGUGUCUAUUCCCACCCAUCACUUAGGUUUGGAAAAUUUAUUUUAGCUUUGAAGCCUUGUUUUGUUUGACUAUACAAUGAGAGGGAAUAAUUCAUUUAAUCUUUUUAAUUUACAAGGAUAUCACAAAGCAAAUGAAAUAAUUCAGCAUGUAGCAGAAAAACAUCCUGUGUGUCAUUGUUUUUAAGAGCAACACCUGAGAUGUUUAUUCUUGUACUAUACCCAGAGGCUUAGCAGUGCAGUAACAAGGCCAGAACACUGCCUCCCAAACUUUCUCUAGCUCUCAGAUUUCCCUGGGGCAGGUCCUCCUCUGACCUUUUAGAACUCUAUUAUGUUCCCUUUUGUUUUCCAAUGCCUGUGGUACAUCUCAGGCUCCCAGCAUUACAUUUUAUUUCCAUGGGCAGGAGCCAUGUCUAGUCCCGCAUUUGAUUGAUCAUAAAAGGUUGUUGGUAUCUAAUUGAUGUAAAAAGAGACCUGUAGAGCUGCUUCGUUUCUCAUGUUUGUUCUGACUUGACUUGAAAUAAUUUGAGCCUGAGUUAGAGACCUUCUCUGGAACCCUGUGAAAUUUUCUGGGAAUAGUCUAGAUUACUUCACCAGACAACAGUUAAAGUAAGGAUGACAAGACAGAGUUGAGAAGCUGGUGAAAAGAGGUAGUUGACAUGUUUGAAUGAGAUGGAGUCUGGGGUGAAACACUUGGUCUCUACAGUAAACUCUGCUACCACUAGCAUGUUGGCAGACUCUUAGUCUCCCCAACUUGAUCAAAGACUCUGGGCUCUUUAAGGUUCCUUUGGGAGCUACUAUUUUCUUUGAACAUGAUGAACAUGAUUUCAAGUUAAUGACCUAGGCUCUGGUGUUGGGUCUUGGGGAAAUUGUUUCAUGUCACUGACCCUCAGAGUUUGCAUCUGUAAAACAAAGAUAAUAAUAUUUGUACCAUGAAGAUUAUUGUAAGGAAUAAGGGAGAUAAAGCAUACAUAAUAUACAUGGCUCUGUCUAGGGUAGUAAAAACAAAAGCUAAGAUAGUUGCAUGUAGCACUCAGCUUUUCAAUUACUGGAACAAAAUACCUGGCAUCCACAUCUUGAAGAAGAAGUUGAGUUUUGUUCACAGUUUCAAAUGGUUUAGUCCAUGGUUGGCUGGCUCCAAGACAGGAACAUCACAGUACAAGAGCAUGGUGGAACACAUUGUUUAGUUCACAGUGCCCAGGAAACAGAGCAAGGGGAAGAGCAGCACCAAGAGAUAUGCCCUUCAAAGGCACACCCACCCAUGACCCAUCUCCAGCUGGGCCACCUCCUAACAGCACAUCCAGCUAUGAACAUCAGUCCUAUGAUCUGAUAAUCUAUUUAGCGGUCUCAAUCCAAUCACGUUAAUAAUUAAGUUUAACUGUCACGGUGCAGUCUGGUCAACAUCUGAAAAUUUUCUGUGUGAGAUUCAGAGAUCAAAUUUGAUGAGCUGCAUUUUGCCUUAAAGACACAAAUCCUGCAACCUACAACUUCCAGAUAAAGACUGCUGUUCCAGAAGAAUGUGCUUUACAAGACUUCAGAUUGUGACAGUUUCUAAUCCUGGAACUUCUGCUGCCCCACUGACUGGUUCAAAGGACUUACUUCUUACUGAUGACCCACUCACAAUAUCCCCUUAGCAAGCAGUCAUGUAUAAACAGAAUCCAGCACUUGUCUAAAUUUGUUCAAAAGAAGUUACGUAAUAACAAAGCCAACAGAAAAUUAUUCAAAGUAAGUCACUUUACCUCAUCCCAUUAGUCCCCCUCUUUGUCUUUAAAAAAUAAUCUUCCUUACCUUUGAGGGGGCACUUGUACAAUUUCUAAAGAAAUCUUAGCCAGUUAAUGUUUUUCAUGCAGAUUCAUCGACCUCUGCAUGAAUGAAGAGACAGAGGACAAGCAAGAACACUUUGAGAACCUACUGGGUACUGUAAACCAACAAAUUAUAAGCAAGGUUAAAAUAAAAGCAAAGACCAUUUUCAUACAGGUACCAAAUAGAUUUGUGUGGUGGAUAAACUAAUGGUCAACUUGGAACACUCAGCUGAACGGAAUCAGCAUGGUUCUGGGCUUGGAAGACCCACCUGAGGAUUGUUGCUAAUGGCAUAAAAAGAGAACUAGAGGGAAAGAUCAUUUGCUAUUGAUUAUCUUGGAGAAGCUUGCUGAGGCUGGUUUUCCUGAUAUAAACUUGGCUGUUCUCAUCAGAGGAGGAGCUUGAGUCCUGUCACCUUGGAUGGCUACUGUUCUUGUCAGGGGAGCUCUGAUCUUCACCUUGAGCGUCACUUCCUGGGUCCAGUGCAGAUCCCUCAGCCUAGUGUCACAGAUCCUUCACCCUGUUGACGCAGACUUUCUAGCUUCCACCACUGGCCUUUGGACCUUCUCAGUGCAGAUCCUUGAUAUGGACUUGCAUGAGACAUUGCCUUGGGCUCUGGGCCUUCAGUGGGACUCAUGGAGGACAUUGCCAUAGAACCCAGACUGUUGACUGGAUUCUUCAUGUCUCUGUUGUGUGGACAGAUCUCUUGCCCUCCUUUGCAUUUGACUUUUUAGGUGAAUAUUUUAAAAUAAUCCUGUAGAGCACAGGUCCUGGCAACAGGGCUGUGAAUGGCUGGCGCUUGCUUUCAAAGGUCACCCUCGAAGCAGAGCCAAUGGCCAUGUUCGGAGGCUAGGGAACCACCAGGAGGUGGAGGGGUCACCCAGAGAUGAACUUCAGCAAGCAGAUUGAGCAAUACUCCCUGAGUGCCAGGCAGACACUGACCUCUUCCCACGAAUACUAUAACCAAGAAUAUGUCCUGUCUUCCUGAGGUAUGCAGUGCCAUGAGGAAACAAAGCAUGAACAGAAACUAUUUUAUUGGGCAAGUGAAAUGAAUGGAUACUUCACAGAGGAAGAAAUACAAAUGGCCAACAAAUAUAUGAAAAAAUAUUCAACAUCUCUGGUCAUUAGAGAAAUGCAGAUUAAACCAAUCCUAAGAUUCCAUAUUACUCCAGAAAGAAUGGCAAUCAUCAAGAAAUCAAAAAAUAACAAAUACUAUUGAGGCUGUGGUGAAAAAGGAACCCUCCUACCCUGAAAAAGGAAACCUCCCACACUGUUGUUGGGAAUGUAAACUUAUAUAAGCAUGAUGAAAUCGAUAUGGAGAUUUCUCAAAGAACUAAAAUUAGAAAUUCCGUAUGACCCAGCUUCCUCCUUCUAGUUAUCUUCCCCAAAAAGCUUAAGACAUCAUACUACAGCAAUACUCUAUGUGAACACCAAUGUUUAUAACAGCACAAUUCAUAAUGAAUAAAUCCUGGAAGCAGCCUGUA
Non-coding RNA from Heterocephalus glaber (naked mole-rat), 12722 nucleotides. Lineage: Eukaryota; Metazoa; Chordata; Mammalia; Rodentia; Bathyergidae. The record is from RefSeq and is a predicted model, not a curated record.